RNAcentral lists this ribosomal RNA (481 nucleotides) under uncultured bacterium. RNAcentral describes it as "partial 16S ribosomal RNA". It matches the Rfam family "Bacterial small subunit ribosomal RNA", at positions 28 to 507 of the family's 1533-position model. The record is from RNAcentral.
GAUGAACGCUGGCGGCGUGCUUAACACAUGCAAGUCGAACGAUGCACUUUAGUUUAUUUCCUUCGGUACUGAUUAUUUUGUGACUGAGUGGCGGGCGGGCGAGUCAUGCGUGGGUAACCUGCCUUGUACAGUGGGUCUACAGUUGGAAACGGCUGCUAAUACCGCAUAAGCGCACAGCAUCGCAUGUUGCAGUGUGAAGAACUCCGGUGGUAUAAGAUGGACCCGCGUUGGAUUAGCUACUUGGUGAGGUAACGGCCCACCAAGGCGACGUACCAUGGCCGACCGGGGAAGGUGACCGGCCAGAAUGGGACUGAGGCACGGACCAAACUCCGACGGGGGACAGCGGUAGAGAAUAUUAUAGGAUGAACGAAAGCCUAGUGCAGCGGCGCGGCGUAAGAGAGGAAGUAGUUCGGUAUGUAAUGCUCUAACAGAAGAAAAGAUAAUGACGGUACCUGACGAAGAAGCACCGGCUAAAUACGUG